CCGGCUUGCGGACCAGAUUGCCGUAGGAGAAAACCUGAAACUCAUUGAAGCUUUUCCUUGCUUCAAACAUUUGUGAACCAUUUUGCACGUGUGUUCAACGAAUUAACAUUAUAUUUGCAACAGGGUAAUACAAAAACAUAUUUCUAGCUUGAAAUAACCUUCAAAAUAGCUUUUCACAUACAGAUAUUCACAAAACAACACAUGACAUGCUACUGCUUAGGGAUUGACAUGACUGACACAAUGACACUGAGACAAAAUACAAGAUUGCUAUUUAAGGACACAAAAGCAUACAAAAAACUAAAUACAACCAAAUUAAAACAUACUUUAGACAUACAAAACAUUACAAAUUCUUCCGUUAAUUUGUUGUGGUUCAAAGAAAUGGCACCCUGCACAGCAUAAACAACUUCAAAAAGAAUUUUGGAAAAAAUAAAGACAACAAAUACAGAAAAACGUGAAGAUAUGUCAAUGAAAAAAAUGCUCAAGCACUUCUUCUGACAAAACCUGAUGAUUGCGCCCCGACGGGAGCACGACGGAGCUCAGAUUUGCUCCCAUGGCCAGAGAGCUUGGCAUGGCGCGAGAUCUUGAGCCCAGCGGCGGAGGACGAACUCAGGGUAGUGGCCGCGGUGCUUGACCUGGAGGGAUGGCGGCGACGGAGAGCCCGAUGGUGGCGGCAGCGCUCGAGCCCGAGAGAGGCCAACAGUGGCAGAGGAGAGCCUUUGGGAGGGCGGCAGCGCUCGAGCGAAGAGCGGCGCCAGGGGGUCGGACAUCAGUCGGCGGCCGUGCUCAAGCGGAAAACGGAGAUAGAGAGGCUCAAGCGCCGUGAGGAAUCUGCGGAAUCAGGGAGCGGCGGAGGUCGAGGCUGCGGGAGCCGAAGGCCGCCGGGGGGAGUGCGGCGCUGCGGCGUCCCCGAGAGCGGAGGAGGCAGCGGAGGGGCCGUGUUAUUUCUCUCGCUCGACGCUGGAGAAACAAUCGACGGGAUAUGAUGGGCCAUAUCCC
This 996-nucleotide long non-coding RNA is filed under the name Setaria italica (foxtail millet). RNAcentral describes it as "long non-coding RNA (SITA_LNC004120)". Lineage: Eukaryota; Viridiplantae; Streptophyta; Magnoliopsida; Poales; Poaceae. The record is from RNAcentral.